RNAcentral lists this ribosomal RNA (459 nucleotides) under uncultured bacterium. Its description in RNAcentral is "SSU rRNA". It matches the Rfam family "Bacterial small subunit ribosomal RNA", at positions 26 to 518 of the family's 1533-position model. The record is from RNAcentral.
AGAAUCAACGCUGGCGGCGUGCCUAACACAUGCAAGUCGCACGAGAAAGGGACUUCGGUCCUGAGUACAGUGGCGCACGGGUGAGUAACACGUGAAUAAUCUACCUCCGAGUGGGGAAUAACUGAGAGAAAUCUUAGCUAAUACCGCAUAACACUUACGAGUCAAAGCAGCAAUGCGCUUGGAGAGGAGUUCGCGGCAGAUUAGUUAGUUGGCGGGGUAAUGGCCCACCAAGACGAUGAUCUGUAUCCGGCCUGAGAGGGCGCACGGACACACUGGAACUGAAACACGGUCCAGACUCCUACGGGAGGCAGCAGUGGGGAAUUUUGCGCAAUGGGGGAAACCCUGACGCAGCAACGCCGCGUGGAGGAUGAAGUCCCUUGGGACGUAAACUCCUUUCGAUCGGGACGAUAAUGACGGUACCGAGAGAAGAAGCCCGGCUAACUUCGCGCCAGCAGCCGC